UACAGAGGGUGCGAGCGUUAAUCGGAAUUACUGGGCGUAAAGCGCACGUAGGCGGCUUUGUAAGUUAGAGGUGAAAGCCUGGGGCUCAACUCCAGAAUUGCCUUUAAGACUGCAUCGCUUGAACGUCGGAGAGGUGAGUGGAAUUCCGAGUGUAGAGGUGAAAUUCGUAGAUAUUCGGAAGAACACCAGUGGCGAAGGCGGCUCACUGGACGACUGUUGACGCUGAGGUGCGAAAGCGUGGGGAGCAAACAGG
This 253-nucleotide ribosomal RNA is filed under the name uncultured bacterium. Its description in RNAcentral is "partial 16S ribosomal RNA". It matches the Rfam family "Bacterial small subunit ribosomal RNA", at positions 524 to 776 of the family's 1533-position model. The record is from RNAcentral.